UAAUCGCGGAUCAGCAUGCCGCGGUGAAUACGUUCCCGGGCCUUGUACACACCGCCCGUCACACCACGAGAGUUUGUAACACCCGAAGUCGGUGAGGUAACCUUUUAGGAGCCAGCCGCCGAAGGUGGGACAGAUGAUUGGGGUGAAGUCGUAACAAGGUAGCCGUAUCGGAAGGUGCGGCUGGAUCACCUCCUUUCUAAGGAUUUUAACGGAAUAUAAGACCUUGGGUCUUAUAAACAGAACGUUCCCUGUCUUGUUUAGUUUUGAAGGAUCAUUCGAUUCUUCGAGAUAUUGUUCUUUGAAAACUAGAUAACAGAAGUAAUUCACAUUCARUUAGUAAUGCAAGAUAUCACGUAGUGAUUCUUUUUARCGGUUAASUUACGAWRGGGCGCACGGGCGGAUGCCUUGGGCCCGGGAA
This 418-nucleotide unclassified non-coding RNA is filed under the name Bacillus amyloliquefaciens. RNAcentral's name for it is "partial contains 16S ribosomal RNA, 16S-23S ribosomal RNA intergenic spacer, and 23S ribosomal RNA". The stretch from base 1 to 196 matches the Rfam family "Bacterial small subunit ribosomal RNA", at positions 1339 to 1533 of the family's 1533-position model. The record is from RNAcentral. Lineage: Bacteria; Bacillati; Bacillota; Bacilli; Caryophanales; Bacillaceae.